Molecule: long non-coding RNA, 235 nt
Filed under: Olea europaea (common olive)
Lineage: Eukaryota; Viridiplantae; Streptophyta; Magnoliopsida; Lamiales; Oleaceae
Description: long non-coding RNA (OEUR_LNC000985)
Source: RNAcentral
GUUAGCCCCGUUUAAUUUAUUUCUUCAUGUUGAUAAAUGUUAUACUCAUAAAAGUUAUGAUAUGAUAUGAUUAUGAUGUGAUAUGAAAUGGCCAUCCGGUACCAAAGAUAUGAUAUGAUAUGAGCUCUUACCGGAAUCUAAAGAUAUGAUAUGACUGUAUGAUUAUUUUGAUGCCUGAUUGAAUAUUUUAUUCGGGAUCGCACCAUUAAUCGUAUCCUACUGAGUAUAAAUUACU